UGGGAACGUGCCUUUAGGUUCGGAAUAGCUCCUGGAAACGGGUGGUAAUGCCGAAUGUGCCCUUCGGGGGAAAGAUUUAUCGCCUUUAGAGCGGCCCGCGUCUGAUUAGCUAGUUGGUGGGGUAAUGGCCCACCAAGGCUACGAUCAGUAGCUGGUCUGAGAGGAUGACCAGCCACAUUGGGACUGAGACACGGCCCAAACUCCUACGGGAGGCAGCAGUGGGGAAUCUUGCGCAAUGGGCGAAAGCCUGACGCAGCCAUGCCGCGUGUAUGAUGAAGGUCUUAGGAUUGUAAAAUACUUUCACCGGUGAAGAUAAUGACUGUAGCCGGAGAAGAAGCCCCGGCUAACUUCGUGCCAGCAGCCGCGGUAAUACGAAGGGGGCUAGCGUUGCUCGGAAUUACUGGGCGUAAAGGGAGCGUAGGCGGACAUUUAAGUCAGAGGUGAAAUCCCGGAGCUUAACUUCGGAACUGCCUUUGAUACUGGGUGUCUUGAGUGUGAGAGAG
RNAcentral lists this ribosomal RNA (503 nucleotides) under Brevundimonas denitrificans. Its description in RNAcentral is "bacterial SSU rRNA". It matches the Rfam family "Bacterial small subunit ribosomal RNA", at positions 118 to 656 of the family's 1533-position model. The record is from RNAcentral. Lineage: Bacteria; Pseudomonadati; Pseudomonadota; Alphaproteobacteria; Caulobacterales; Caulobacteraceae.